GACGCAUUGAAAGACCUCCAGUCGUUCCUAACGUACCUUGCGCUGGGGUUCGAGAAGAUGGUGUGACAGCUAAAGAUGUUAUUAUUGAUAAAUUCACUAACUUAUGGGCACGUUUUUACGUCCCAAUCUACCCUAGCACUGGCAGCAGGCUGCCUUUUCUUGUUUACUUUCACGGAGGUGGAUUCUGUGUUGGCUCAGCUGCUUGGAGCUGUUAUCAUGAGUUCUUGGCCAAUCUUGCUUCUAAAGCAAGUUGCAUGAUCAUGUCCAUAAACUACCGUCUAGCUCCUGAAAAUCGUCUCCCUGCUGCUUAUGAUGAUGGCUUCAACACUCUUAUGUGGGUGAAACAGCAGGCUGUAAUUCGUUCUCCUGAGCAAAAGUGGUGGUCAAGCCAGUGCAAUUUCUCCAGCUUGCUCUUGGCAGGUGAUAGUGCUGGUGCCAACAUAGCUUACAAUGUGUCUACGAGGCUAGGAUCCAAUGUCACAUCUGAAUCCAGUUUAAAGCCAUUGUGUCUCAAGGGCAUCAUCCUGAUCCAACCUUUCUUCGGAGGUGAGGCACGAACUUCAUCUGAGAAAAAUAUGAUUCAACCCGCCAAUUCAGCACUAACUUUAUCAGCCUCUGAUGCAUAUUGGAGGUUGUCACUGCCUUUAGGGGCUAACCGUGAUCAUCCAUGUUGCAACCCUCUGGCAAAUGGCACGAAUAAAUUCCGUGAUUUGCAGCUUCCAUCUAUUCUGGUUUGCAUAUCCGAGAUGGAUAUACUAAAGGACAGGAACUUGGAAUUUUGCACUGCCUUGGCUAGUGCUGGGAAGAAAGUGGAUAAGAUUAUUUACAAAGGAGUUGGACAUGCAUUUCAAAUUCUGCACAACUCUCACUUCUCUCAAAUUCGGGUUCAAGAAAUGAUAUCACAUCUCAGGGCUUUCAUCAAUCAAUAAUAAGUGGACCUCUUGACAUUUUGGUUUCCAUGAUUUCAUUUCCAUCUUUCCUUGGUAUCCUGCCAUAUACUUUUGUCAAAAGCUUUUAGAUUUCAUUAAUUAUGUUUAUUUAUAAGUCUUCAUGAACACC
RNAcentral lists this unclassified non-coding RNA (1059 nucleotides) under Hevea brasiliensis (rubber tree). The record is from RNAcentral. Lineage: Eukaryota; Viridiplantae; Streptophyta; Magnoliopsida; Malpighiales; Euphorbiaceae.